AAGGGUGCGAUGCCAAGCAUUUAUUUAUUCUGGACGAGCCGUGCGACGAGGAGCCAAAGGACUCGCCGACGCCGCUCGCCUAGCUACCUAGCAAGUGAGGUUGGGUCCGGGGUCGACGCCGAGCUGCUGGCAGUACUGCCUGUAGUAGCCCACCCGCGCGUUCAUCUGGGCAGUAUUCUUGCCGUUGCACUCGAGGGCGCCGUUGAUGGCCCUGAUGGUGGCGCCGAACCCCUGCGACAUCACCCCGUGCACGUUGUUGGUCCAGAACCAGAGCGCCGUCUUGAACGCGACCACGGCGUCCUGCGCCACCCUGUCCGGGUUCCGAAGCCCGUCGAAGCCGAUGUCCCUCCCGGCAGGCCCGUAGUUGUAGUUCCACGAGAUUUGCAGCGGGCCGCGCCCGUAGUACUUCUGACCCGCGGCACACGGCCACUGCCUGUUGCUCGAGUCGCAGUAGGCGUUGUUCUUGUUGAUCUCGCUGAUGUAGCAGAAAUCUGUAUGUGGUGUCCGUAUCGAGUCGUGCACACAGCAGAAUUACAAAAAUCGAUCAGCAUUAUGCAUGGGUCAAAAAUCAAAGACGAUUACGAUACUGUGGAAGAGAGAUUAGAGUGUGUGGUCAUCAGUGGACGUUCAAUCAACUUACGUCCGGUCUCGUGCGUGAUGUGGGCGAAGAAGGCGGCGAUCUCGCGCUUGCCCUGCACCGACCUGCCACCGAAGCCUUUGUACGCGUCGGCGGCGCUCAGGAACGCGCUCCGGGUGUAGAAGUUCUUGCCCUCGCACCCGUUCCCGGCCUGGUUCUUGAUGCUGUUGAAGAAUGCGUCGGUGACAACGCCAGCCACGUUCCCACCUCCACUGCUGCCGCCGCCAGAGCGGCACGGGCCCGACUGGCACCCGUCGCCGCAGUACUCGUCGGUCGUGCCGCAGUAACCGAACUUGCUGCAGCAGUAACCUGCCUGGCAGCCGCAGUUCUGCGCGGCGGCAGCGCAGAGGAGUGCUAGGCCGAGAGCCAGGACCGCCAUGAUCCUCGGCGCGAUUGCCAUACUGGAUCAGAUCAGUAGUACUUCAGCUUCUGGCCAAAGGUUUGUUGCUGCGGUGCAGCUUUGUUGCGAGGUGAUUUGAGAUGUCACGAGGGUGCCGCUUUAUAUAGGCAUCAGAACGUGCGUCUUGCCGAUGCAUGGCAUGCGACGUGGAGGAUUUGGACGGAGUGGCUGUGUCCCGGUCCACGCAUAGCACUGGCACGUACUGUACGACCGUUCCACGCAUUGCACUGGCACGUACGACUGUUCCACAUUUUAUGAUGGACUUUUGACACAUGGGACAGCUAGCAUGUAUCGACAAGCACAAGUCUAACGUACGUUGGUCGAGAUAUCAUCAGAUUUGGAUUGCCACCGCCCAUCGCCUGAAUGCUCGGUGGAAAAUCCGCGCAUGCUAGCUGCUAGAAGCCAUUUGUUUUCCAUUCCUAUAGUUUUUUUUCCUGACAGAUGCAGUCGCUCGUAAAUACGAGUGUACACUCAACCCUAUGAACAUACACGUACACUUAACUUCUAUGAACAUCUUCGAAAAAACAAAUUAGACCAAUAAAUCUUGAGAGACGCCUCGUUAUCAACAGGAACAUUACCUAUAUUGCAAAUCAAAGGAUCCUGAAAAAUAAGAGAUGCUGGAGAAUAAUAAUGAAGCCGAGAAGGACAAGUGAAGUAAAAGGAGAAGUUUGUAUUUUUUUGCCACCGGAGCCCGUCUGUUCCUUUGAAACUUUUUUCUUAUUCUAGUUUUUGGGAUGUUGUCUGUAAUCUUCAAUCUAGUUUCGCUGUUAGUGUAGCAAAUUGUUCGCUUUCUUAAACUCUGGUUAGUUGUAAGUGGCUGGUCUGGUUCUGUUUCUGUCUACACUAUGUUCUGAAUUAUAUUUCUGUUGGAAGUAAUGAAAAUGAGGAAGAUCCUUUGUAUAAAAAAAGAAUAGUGUCAUUAAAUCCUAGAAUAAAUCUUUCUUAUUCUAGUUUUUGGGACGUUGUCUGUAAUCUUUAAUCUAGUUUCGCAGUUAGUGUAGCAAAUUGUUCACUUUCUUAAACUCUAGUUAGUUGUAAGUGGCUGGUCUGGGUUCUGUUACUAUCUACACUCUGUCCCAAACUGUAUUUCCAUUGAAAGUAAUGAAAAUGGGGAAGAUCCCUUCUAUUGAAAAAAGAAUAGUACCAUUAAAUUCUAAAAUAAAUCUUUCUUAUUCUAGUUUUUGGGACGUUGUCUGUAAUCUUCAAUCUAGCUUCACUGUUAGUGUAGCAAAUUGUUCGCUUUCUUAAACUCUAGUUAGUUGUAAGUGGCUGGUCUGGGUUCUGUUCCUGUCUACACUCUGUCCCGAACUGUAUUUCCGUUGGAAGUAAUGAAAAUGCUUGUAUCGAAAAAAAUAGUUCCAUUAAGUCCUAGAAUAAAUCUAAAAAAAUUCAAGUAGCUGUGUCAAAUCAGUUAAACUUGGACGGUCAGGUUUCACCACAAUCCAACCAGCUGAGCUCGCUCAGUUUGCAUAUUUCCUAUAGUCUGUUUUGUCUUUGUCCUUCCGUAAAAAGAAUUAUAAUUAUUUUAUUGUGAUUUGUGCUAAUAGAUUUAGAACGUUAGAUAGAGAUCUGAUAGUGUUAACCGUCGCCUGAACAAAUGCUAUAUUUCAAACACGUGUAACUUUUCUCGUAUACGUACUGUUGCUUCAAAAAACUCCAUGUACCUCGCAUGUGAGUAUUUAUUGGUGGCCUUGGCCUGCGUGUUCCAACUAAGGCUACCAGAAAUGGUCAACCAAGAACGGAAGACUUCCAAGCUAGCUACCGGUGAUGGAUUGGGCCAUAUGCAUGAUCAAACGAAGUCGUAGAUAGCUUUCUAUAUUUUUGUUAUUUCUGUAGAAGGCUCGUUGGCUUUUUUCCUUCCUUAUUCUCAUUAUGCGUGGAUUUAGAAUAGAAGAGUUCUAGCACUCAAUACAGCGGAAGAUUGUUCUCGUGCCUCACUUUAUUUAUUAAUCGCUCCCUCUAUCGUGUAGUAUAUUCUAAAAAUUAUAAGACAAAAUAAAGAAGAAUAUAAAAUACGUAUCUACCUUUGCUUUAUUUCUUGAUGAGACGUUAUUAUCAACUUAAUUAAUGGUGAUUGGUUGAUAAAUAGAAAAUAUUUUUAACGCCCCCCCCCCCCCACCCCCCACUGACACAAAUUUUGGGCCGUGGUGUAGUGCCACUAAAUGAUGGUGAUUGGUUAAUAAAUGGCAAGUAACACUACCAUACCUACCAAAUUUGUGCAACUAUUUCAUUCAAAAUUAUUUUUCCUCUGUAAUCCCUUGGUUUUGGGUUUAAUUUUUAAUGUUUGUAUGCACUAUAUUAUAUGACAAAAGGAAGUAUAUAACACCCCCUAAUGUCCAGUGUUCGCCGACUGACUUCUCUUUUAAUCAGCCGUGGAAACUGGUUGAAUAUAUACUGUAUACUUACAUCCAAACCCAUGCAAGGAGACCCUUGAAAAGAACACAAAAUUUGCACUGAAGUUAUUUUUUGAGGUUUGAUCUAUCGCAUAUGUGGCCUACCAUUAGGGAUUAGCAGCGCUGGAUGCGCUCUGAUCCACUGUUACUUGGUACUCCUACUAGCCUACUAGGUAAUAAUGUAAGCGUAAAGUAAUCAAAACUCAUCAACAGAGGAAGAUUUGUGAUCGAUAGUAUAUGCAUAAGAUAAUUCAAUCGGAAUAAGAGCAUCUCUAACAGUUAUGCAAUUGGAAUUUGCCAUUUGUUUGAGUUUGCCAAGUCUCUAAACGUUUUGCCAAAGGAAAAAUAAGUUCAUCUCCAAGUGUUUGACAUUUUUGACUUGACAUUUCCCAAAAUAGUGGACCCAACUAUUUUUGUCCGGAAAUCUUUCAUCUUCGCGGGAAAUUUUCUCGCACGUCGCGCGGGCGCUUUCUUUUUCGCACGCAAUUCCUUCGCCCGUCGCGUUCCUUUGUCGCGAUCGAUCUCCGUGAUCAACUCGACGCGGCAGCAGCGCGUGGACUUCGACGUCUUCCUCACGCCGGUGAACCCCAACAAGAUGACGGCGUUGUGGUACAGGAGCGGCACGGUGAAGAUGCGGCGAUGGAUUUCCUAGCCUCGCGUCGCUGCAAGAAAAGGAGGCAGUGAUGGAUCUCUUUGUCCCUGCGCAAAGAAAGGAGACGGCGCGCGGGGGAAAGAAAAGAGUCGCGCGCGAGGAGGACUCGUCUCGCGGGAAACUACCGCGACGUGGGGGUACGACAAGGAGUCCAAGAUUCUCAGGAUAUCAAAAUUGCCAAACCAUUGUGCUUAUGCAAAAAUGCCAAGUUUGGUCCAUCAAAUGUCAAGUUUGCCAAAAUGCAUAAGUCAAAUGUAAAAUUGUUGGAGAGCAAUUUUUAAGGUUUUUGGCAAAUUUCAAGAAUGCAAAGUCCAAUUGCAUAAUGGUUGGAGAUGCUCUAAGAAAUUUGUUUUUCAUUGCAUAGCUCAACCAUUCAGGUACUAUGUUGCACAAGAACCACUUUUCAUCAUGAUUGGUUAUUGGUAUAUGGCCUUCUUUGUGUUUGCAAAAUCUCUCAUAUUUCCAUGCGUUUGGCGGAGAGCGACAAGGUGUGUGUCUCACAAAUCAUCUCCUUCCUCUUAUUUCUUCAACAAAUCAACAUAGGCACAGGUAUGGCUGGAAGGGGCCGAUUCAGCCAAGAGAGCAGCCACCAGCGGCAACGGAUGAAACCGCAAGCUUCACCUAAUCACCACCCACGCACCCGAAGAUGGUUUUAAUUGGUCGAGGCUAGUAACAAGUUGGCCGAGCCUAAGAGCCUUCCCGUCCAGCGGUCGACAACAACAAGUAGAAGGUAGAAGAUAGAUGGAGAUAAAAUGGUAGAUCUGACAUAGAGUUAUCCUAAAUACGUGUGUGCGGAGACGAGAGAACUGCGGCGGACUCAUCUGCACAUUUGUUGAAGCUCGCCUAGACACAGACACUGUUUAUUGAUUUAGUCUUUAAACCCUUGAUGCAAUCGUAGUAAAGUACAAGCGCGAGUGUACACACUAAUGUUUCGAGGGUAUAGUUGCUUCAUUAUUAGUAAGGUGCAACAAACAGGCUCAGCCCCAGCGUUUUAUUGUUACUACUAGCUAGCUCGUACUCGCUAAACUCUGUGUUUCGCGAGGGUGCGACGCCGAGCAUGCAUUUUCUGGACGAGCCAUCCAAGGACUGCCGACGCCACUCGCCUAGCAAGUGAGGUUGGGCCCGGGGUCGACGCCGAGCUGCCGGCAGUACUGCUUGUAGUAGCCCACCCGCGCGUUCAUCUGGGCAGUAUUCUUGCCGUUGCACUCGAGGGCGCCGUUGAUGGCCCUGAUGGUGGCGCCGAACCCCUGCGACAUCACCCCGUGCACGUUGUUCGUCCAGUACCAGAGCGCCGUCUUGAACGCGAUCACGG
This 5394-nucleotide long non-coding RNA is filed under the name Sorghum bicolor (sorghum). RNAcentral describes it as "long non-coding RNA (SBIC_LNC011301)". The record is from RNAcentral. Lineage: Eukaryota; Viridiplantae; Streptophyta; Magnoliopsida; Poales; Poaceae.